Molecule: ribosomal RNA, 558 nt
Filed under: Triticum aestivum (bread wheat)
Lineage: Eukaryota; Viridiplantae; Streptophyta; Magnoliopsida; Poales; Poaceae
Description: partial small subunit ribosomal RNA
Source: RNAcentral
AUGUACUACCAAAAGGUGGUAGGUGCUGGGCAUGCAGGGAUGGACCUGAUUAUGUCAGAUGACAAUGUGGAGGAGAUGCUUGAUUUGUAUGCAGAGAAAAAAGUAGUGAACAUAACUGUGAUCAGUGCCAGCAAACCUGACUUGUUUGCAUUAAAAGACCUUAACAAAGGGGAUGUAUGUGAAGAUCAAGUGCCCAUUUCUGAGAUUGGUAAUCCAAUUGUUUAUGAGAUAAAUGAUGAUGGUGUGUUGUUUCAAUCACAAGGCAGUUCUGAAGCUAAUGCACAUGAGUGUACCCCAAUGCAGCUAGAUGACUCUCAAGCAGAGUAUCUGAUAACUCAGCAGAGUUGCAAUUUGCAGAAAGAGAAAGAGAAGGAGAUUGUCAUUGUAAAUGACAAUGUAGAUGACAUUCUCAAUGCAUUUUUGGAGCAAUAUGAUGAUCCUAUUGAUGAUGGACAACCUAUGGAAGAGGAAGCAACCAAUGCAGAACAACAAGAAGGACAAGAGAAUUAUGAGUUUGCAGAAGGAGAACAAUUUUAUGAUAGUUCAGAAGGAGAAUAA